This is a non-coding RNA of Podarcis lilfordi (Lilford's wall lizard), 85 nucleotides long. The record is from the annotation of a GenBank genome assembly. NCBI's taxonomy places the organism in Eukaryota, Metazoa, Chordata, Lepidosauria, Squamata, Lacertidae.
CCAGUGAUGGUACAGUGGUUAGAGUGUUGGAUUAGGACCUGAGAGAUGUGGGUUCAAUUCCCCUCUUAACAGGAAGCUCACUGGG